CUGUCAUGUGACCUUCCUUCACCUUUGAUCCUAGAUAGGUGGCCCAGAGCUUCAUGCUGGGGCUUCUCCCUUGAUUGGCUUUGGAAAGAAAUCCUUUGUUGUCAGGGGCACAAUGAGUCAGAGGUCAGAGGCUGCAGGAGGAUCUCCAACACCAAAGCUAGCAUUUGCUGCCUAGAGCUGUUGCCUGACUCUAAGCAGGAGAAACUACAGAAAACACUUUGUAGUGUUCCCUCUUAGGAAAACAGUGAAGUGUUUUAAAUCCUGCCAGAGACAGCUUAUCUGUCCAGACUUGCACUCAAGCCUCACCCAGAGAAAGAGCCACAGACUGGGGAACCAUGUCAUGAAAGCGUGGCUCACUGGCCAAGUUUAUAUCUGAAUUCCUCUACCAUUCACAGCCUUACAGUAGGCACACACUUGCAUCUAGGGCUCUGCCAGGCCAUCCAAAUCUUCUUGAUUGGCAUCUGCAGCAAUGCUAGCCUGUGUCCUAGAAGAGAGCAGUGAAGCUGUCAGAUCCAGGUGUGCUUUGUUGGCAAGCACUUUACUCUUUGGCCUAGCUUCCUCACCUUUAAGGUGGUGAUAAAACCCACAUGUUGUUGAAAGCUCAAAUCAGCUAAAGCCUAUGUAUAUAAGAGCACAAUGUAAACUUGACACAAAGGCACAUAUGUGGCUAUUGAUUAAUUUGCUUCUUUUUUUUUUUUCGGUACCGGGGAUCAAACUCAGGUCCGCCUGCUUGCGCAGCUGAAACCACUGAGCUAAGUCCCCAGCCUUAUUAAUUUGCUUCUUAUUGCAUACCUGUUCUGUCCCAGGCACUGUGCUUGCCAAGAGCUAUAUGGGCAUUCUCUUGUUCCCCGUCCCAGCCCUGGGAAGUAGUAACUGCUAUCCUCAUCUUUCUGCACAAGGGAAAAUGAACACUUAAGAGAAUUCUUAUAACCUCAAAGCUGUGCACUGGUGGUGUUAAGCCAGUAUUCGUUCUCUCAAACCCAGUUCCAUUAGCCACUGUGCUCUGCUUCCCGCAGUUCACAUGGUGCACUUUACACUGUGCAUCUUAAAGAGGCCUCCACUGGAAAAGAUCAGCCACCUUGGUUUCCAUGGGGCACCUGCUGUGGGUUUGCCACUGCCAGGUUUUGGGAGGAAACUUUCAUAUAAGAAACAGCCUACCACAUGAAGCUUACUCUGCCCUUGGAGUUGUUUAAUUCAGUAUUCUUUCAUUUAACAGUUAUUUAUUGAUCACCUACUAUAUGCCAGGCUCUAAAGUACUAGAUAUCAGGAAAUCAAACAAAGUCAUUGUUCUUAAAGAAUUUGCAGUCUGGAAAGUGGAAGGCAUAACAAGUGUACUGUAGGAGGUGUUGAUAAGUGCUCUGAAGAGAAAAGGCCUGGGGGUGCAGAGAAGGACCUGUCUUAGAUAAGGAAAAGAGUUGCCUUCUGGAGGGAAGGAGUACACUGUUCAGAUAGCAGGAGACCAAGCAUUCCCAGCAGAGGAAGUAGCAUCAGCUAAAGCCCUGAGGCUAGUCUGUGUGCCUGAGGUGCAGCAAGGAGGCAGGGAACAGAGCAGCAGAUGGGAAUGACCAGGUGAAUGUUGUAUAGCCUACAGGGCUAGGCUGAGGCCUAGACUUGGCUUUUAGUUGUAAGGAUACCAUACAAGGCUCUAUAUGGGAUUCUGGACAGAAGAAGGUGAUGAUCUGGUAUUUCUGAAGGAUCCUGGCUGGCAUUUAGAGAGAGGAGGAGUGAAGCCAAAGAGAUAGUGUGGGGUUGUGGCAGGGAUGCAGAUGAGAGCCAGGGGGCUCAUCUCCCCCUGGCUGAAAUUUCAGCACCCUCUUCUCCCAAAAGGCAGAGGCCAUUGCAUUAUUUUAAAAAAUAUUUUUAUAAUUAAGUCUUUUUUGAAGAGAGAAAUCUUUGCAUAGUUUUAAUCAUGCAUCACAUACAAUUUAAUGUCUUGGCUCUUUACUUAAUUGUAGGUCAUAUUUUCCUACCAACACAUAGCCUGAAUAAAUGCUUUUAAUUAUAUAAAACCCCAUUAAAAGGUAUUCCAUAGUUUGUCAUUUUCCUAUUAUGAGACUUUCACGUGUUCCCAAUUUUUCACUACUGUUAAUUUGAAAAAUGUUGUAAAGAUUUUUCUUUAAAGUAUGCGCUAAAAUAAAUUCCCAGAAGUGGAUUUAUUGGAUCUGAGACUCAAAACGUUUUAUUAUGGGAACAUUAAAAUAUAAAUAAAAAUGGUGAAUAAUAAACUGAACUCAUAGUUUUAACAGUUGUCAACAUUUAGCAGUCUAGUUUCAUUCUACCUCUAAGUCUGACUGUUAACUGGAGUCUUUUAAAGAUAAUCUGAGGACUGGGGAUAUAGCUCAGCGGUGCUGCAUCUGCCUGGCAAGUGCAAGGUCCUGAGUUUGAUCCCUGAUACGGAGAAGAAAAACAAUAAAGAUAAUCUGAAUACAAGUUUAAGAAGAGCCAAUGGGUCUUGCUGACACACUGAAUGGGGGUAAGAGGAGCCCAAACCACAGGAAGUUGUCCCUGACUUGAGGUGAUCUUAAGGCAGGACCCCAUAUCUUGUAUCCACAUUACAGGUGCUGUCACGGCUUGUGUCUAGAUGUCCCCCUAAAGUCUCACGUGGUCAGAGAUGGAGCUUUCGGAGGUGGCUGAAGCUAGAGUAUGUGAUGCUGGGAUUGAUUUAUUGUGUGGUGCUAGGAUUAAGGGUCCUCCACCUUGGGUGAGAGUGCUAUCCACCCUUAGGGUGGGUAGUCUGGAUAGAAUGUAAGAGACAGAAGGAGAGCUGGGUGCUCACUGCUUGCUGCCUGCUGCUUUUGCUGCCUGCUGCUUUUGCUGCCUUCUGUCUGCCAUGAACUGUUUCUCCUCUGCAAUGCCCCUCUGCCAUUCUAGCCUGCUUUGGAGCCAGCCAACUAUGAACUGAAACCUCUGCAAACUGUGAACCAAAAUAAACCUCUUUUUCUUUAA
RNAcentral lists this long non-coding RNA (2946 nucleotides) under Heterocephalus glaber (naked mole-rat). RNAcentral's name for it is "lncRNA (ENSHGLG00000017066.2)". Lineage: Eukaryota; Metazoa; Chordata; Mammalia; Rodentia; Bathyergidae. The record is from RNAcentral.